Long non-coding RNA from Juglans microcarpa x Juglans regia, 489 nucleotides. RefSeq lists it as uncharacterized. The record is from RefSeq and is a predicted model, not a curated record. NCBI's taxonomy places the organism in Eukaryota, Viridiplantae, Streptophyta, Magnoliopsida, Fagales, Juglandaceae. The transcript is spliced from 2 exons.
UCUCUUCUCUUUUCACAAGCCACCCUCACUUCAAAUGUCACUCACUCAACCACCAAGUCAGCCCCUUCAUCUAUACCCCACUCCACCCUCAUUUGCUUGCCCAAACUUACACUUUUUCAUCCAUUUUUCCAAGUGCAAACCGAGAGAGCUAGAGAGAAACUUUUCUAGGCAGUUUUGCUUGCUUGAUUCCAGCCAUUUAAUGAUAGAUGAAGUGCCAGGAAGUAGAAGAUCGGUGAACCAUCGACUUGAUGAUGUCGAAUAGACCGAGGAGGAGCCUCAAGGAGAUGAGAGGGAUGGUUCUCUGAUUUUCGGAUAUCGUUUUGGAACUAAUAGCGAAGCUGUGCGAGCAACUUGGCGCUUAGUUUAGACUCCGUUUACCUGCAACUAAUGAGUUACAACUUUAGUACUAUGCUUAUUUUGUUAUAAUCUGGUUAGAACCACGAUGUAACUUUUGGUUGUGAAUAUUUAUGAAAAUAUAUUUACGUUUUG